GAUGAACGCUGGCGGCGUGCCUAAUACAUGCAAGUCGAGCGAACAGACGAGGAGCUUGCUCCUCUGACGUUAGCGGCGGACGGGUGAGUAACACGUGGAUAACCUACCUAUAAGACUGGGAUAACUUCGGGAAACCGGAGCUAAUGCCGGAUAAUAUAUUGAACCGCAUGGUUCAAUAGUGAAAGACGGUUUUGCUGUCACUUAUAGAUGGAUCCGCGCCGCAUUAGCUAGUUGGUAAGGUAACGGCUUACCAAGGCAACGAUGCGUAGCCGACCUGAGAGGGUGAUCGGCCACACUGGAACUGAGACACGGUCCAGACUCCUACGGGAGGCAGCAGUAGGGAAUCUUCCGCAAUGGGCGAAAGCCUGACGGAGCAACGCCGCGUGAGUGACGAAGGUCUUCGGAUCGUAAAACUCUGUUAUUAGGGAAGAACAAAUGUGUAAGUAACUAUGCACGUCUUGACGGUACCUAAUCAGAAAGCCACGGCUAACUACGUG
RNAcentral lists this ribosomal RNA (497 nucleotides) under uncultured bacterium. Its description in RNAcentral is "partial 16S ribosomal RNA". It matches the Rfam family "Bacterial small subunit ribosomal RNA", at positions 28 to 507 of the family's 1533-position model. The record is from RNAcentral.